This 1482-nucleotide long non-coding RNA is filed under the name Homo sapiens (human). RNAcentral's name for it is "HSALNT0386681". The record is from RNAcentral. Lineage: Eukaryota; Metazoa; Chordata; Mammalia; Primates; Hominidae.
ACUAGGCUCUCAGCCAGGGAUGAUGCGCUGCUGCCGCCGCCGCUGCUGCUGCCGGCAACCACCCCAUGCCCUGAGGCCGUUGCUGUUGCUGCCCCUCGGUGAGUGCGGGCAUCCGGGGCCCGGGCCACACCCCCUUCUCGCCCAGCCAAGCCAGGCUGGGCAUAGGGUGUGUGGGAACGCUGGGUGCCAGGGUGGAGAAGAGUUGUAAGGGCUCCAGGAAGGUGUGCUGGUGACUUCAGGACAGAAAGUGAGAGGCACAAACAGCCCCAGUUAUGGGAGAAGGACUCCAAAAUUUGCAUCCCCUCUUAUGAUAAAGGGAGACAUGCCAAUGGCAGGACUUAUAGACCAGUCGUAGGAUCCCUAAGUCCUCUCUGAGGGUCUGGCCUGGAUCCCAAUACCUCUGCAUCCUGCCUUGUCUCUCCAAAAAUAUUUAUCUUUAGAGAGAGUUCGGAGGGCCAAGCAAAGCUUGUCUAAACCGCAGAGAGAUGCACCUGCUCCUGGUCCGGGGCCUCUGGACCUCCCUCCCCUCCACCCUGUCCUGACUCCUUUACAUGGACCCUUGUCACCCCACCUGCGGCCCCAGAAGCUCAAAGGAAGAGCUGACCUGGGGUACACAACACCCCCUUCCCCUGUACAAAUCCCAGUCUGGGUCCUACCUUGAAGGGGGCCUGGGUAGGUAAUCCCCAGACUUGCCCUUUAGUUCCCUGGGGCACCCUUUUUCCGCUGAGUCACAUCCCCAGAGUGCUCCCAGGUAAACAAGCCCCUGGGGGCUGGGGGAUGAGCCUGGCUCAUCCUAUCUACCAUUCCUUCCCCACCCCACCCCCGCCCCACUUCUAGUCCUUUUACCUCCCCUGGCAGCAGCUGCAGCGGGCCCAAACCGAUGUGACACCAUAUACCAGGGCUUCGCCGAGUGUCUCAUCCGCUUGGGGGACAGCAUGGGCCGCGGAGGCGAGCUGGAGACCAUCUGCAGGUACCGGCGGGUGUGAGGCAGUGGCCCAACCUGUGCCACCAUUGGGGACUGAACCUUUUAUUUCCCAAGCUAAAGUCUCCUUGCCUCACCUAAUCCCCCUAAUCCCACUCCCUUAACAGGUCUUGGAAUGACUUCCAUGCCUGUGCCUCUCAGGUCCUGUCAGGCUGUCCGGAGGAGGCAGCUGCAGUGUGGGAAUCACUACAGCAAGAAGCUCGCCAGGCCCCCCGUCCGAAUAACUUGCACACUCUGUGCGGUGCCCCGGUGCAUGUUCGGGAGCGCGGCACAGGCUCCGAAACCAACCAGGAGACGCUGCGGGCUACAGCGCCUGCACUCCCCAUGGCCCCUGCGCCCCCACUGCUGGCGGCUGCUCUGGCUCUGGCCUACCUCCUGAGGCCUCUGGCCUAGCUUGUUGGGUUGGGUAGCAGCGCCCGUACCUCCAGCCCUGCUCUGGCGGUGGUUGUCCAGGCUCUGCAGAGCGCAGCAGGGCUUUUCAUUAAAGGUAUUUAUAUUUG